AACGACUCUCGGCAACGGAUAUCUCGGCUCUCGCAUCGAUGAAGAACGUAGCGAAAUGCGAUACUUGGUGUGAAUUGCAGAAUCCCGUGAACCAUCGAGUCUUUGAACGCAAGUUGCGCCCGAAGCUUCGGCUAAGGGCACGUCUGCCUGGGCGUCACGC
RNAcentral lists this ribosomal RNA (160 nucleotides) under Trigastrotheca molluginea. Its description in RNAcentral is "5.8S ribosomal RNA". It matches the Rfam family "5.8S ribosomal RNA". From Rfam's summary of the family: 5.8S ribosomal RNA (5.8S rRNA) is a component of the large subunit of the eukaryotic ribosome. It is transcribed by RNA polymerase I as part of the 45S precursor that also contains 18S and 28S rRNA. The record is from RNAcentral. Lineage: Eukaryota; Viridiplantae; Streptophyta; Magnoliopsida; Caryophyllales; Molluginaceae.